This 253-nucleotide ribosomal RNA is filed under the name uncultured bacterium. Its description in RNAcentral is "partial 16S ribosomal RNA". It matches the Rfam family "Bacterial small subunit ribosomal RNA", at positions 524 to 776 of the family's 1533-position model. The record is from RNAcentral.
UACGUAGGGUGCGAGCGUUGUCCGGAAUUAUUGGGCGUAAAGAGCUUGUAGGCGGUUUGUCGCGUCUGCCGUGAAAAUUCGAGGCUCAACCUCGAACUUGCGGUGGGUACGGGCAGACUAGAGUGUGGUAGGGGAGACUGGAAUUCCUGGUGUAGCGGUGAAAUGCGCAGAUAUCAGGAGGAACACCGGUGGCGAAGGCGGAUCUCUGGGCCAGUACUGACACUGAGGAGCGAAAGCGUGGGUAGCAAACAGG